CUCACAGAAAGAAUUAGGAAGAACCAAAAGAUCACUAAGAAGAAACAAAAUCCCAAAUAUAUUUGAUCAGUUCCUCCAUUCGUAAUGACUUAAUCAAAAGUUGCAAUGCAAAAUCCCAAACCACAUGCGCAAGUCAGUGUAUUUCAAAAGUAAGACUUUUUACCUUCAAAAUUGAAGAAUUGAGGUAUGUGAAUUCUUAUUUUGCUCCCCACAAAUCUAAGCACGUGUAGUCGUGAAUCGGGCUCCAGAGAGAGGCAAGACCAUUGUGCGCGAGUUGUGGCGGACCAGGCGAUCCUUCCCCCGGUCCGCCGCAACUCGCGCACCGUGGUCUCCCAGUCCAUUUGUUAGGCGCAGAGGUGUGUGAAGGAACUGAACGAAGAAGAGGCUGUCUGAAGCAGGCGAAUGGCGUGAUUUUUGGGCGAAUGGAUUUAUCGUAAUUACGUGUUUUUUUUUUUUGUAAUUUUUGUAAUUUUUUUUAAAAAGUGUCUUUUGGGUCAUCACAUUCCAGAAGAUUCUGAACGAGGGCCGUAGUGUAAUGGAUAAAAUAGCUCCUGCGAAUGGGCUGGUUAUUAAGCGCUUGUUUGUGAUUGCGGGGGGGAAAUAGAACUUUUGUCAAACGAGUUUUUAUCUGUGAGCCUUUGACAAAAGUGCUAUUGUUAAAAAACUGUUUACUUGUUUAAUAACUAUAUAUUCUAAGUACUUUUUGAAUGUUAAUCAUAUUUGGUAACAAAAUUAAAAAGUACUUUUAAUUGUAAAAAUGACAAAAAAAGACAUUAUGCCUAAAACAACAUAUUGCACAAAAUUCAAAAUGGAUAUGUAAUUUUUUUUUUUCCAUUUAAUAGCAUUUUUUUAUAUAUAUAAAUGAUUAAUGUGAACUUUUUACAGUUUUAAUGGUUUAAUAUCUUAAUAGUUUCUAAGCUAUAAACAAAAGUUCAAUAUUAAUAUCUUAUUCCGAUGUGUGAGAGGGGAGAAAAAAAAUUGAAAGAGGAAUUUUGUCUCUCUCUCCAAAUCCAAGUAUGUCUAACAUGAUAUUUGGUGUAGAUGAAGAUAUGUUACACGUAGCCUGAGUCAAACAAGAAAGUUUUUUUUUUUUCAAAAAAUCGGUUUUGUUUGGCAAAACUUGCUGCCGAAGAUAUAAUUUUAUUUUCUUUUUUUAGAAACCCAAGCAACUUUGUAUAUUAUUAUUCAAAUGCAAAAGGAAAAAAAAAAAAGAAGAAAAAAGUAUGCUGAGAGAUCUUCUUGUACAAGACGGUGAUAUGACAGUACAACCCACUUUUUGUCGCCUAUUAUACACCUUCAUCAUUUCAUCUGCAGGUGGUCACAUGGGUUCAAACAGACUUCUUUUUUCAAUUUAUUGAAAAUCACAACUAACAUUCUCACACACACUCAUUUAUAAACCCUCGUCUCUCUCAACUUUGUUCUAUACAUCUUCUCUACAGACACAGCCAUUUUAGAACAGCACACAGCCAUUGCUACGUCAAGGAGAAGCGGUCGAGAACCCCAAAGAAUCAUCUCUCUUUCUCUCUCUUGUUAUCUGCUUUGAGUCCAUACGUUAAUGGCGACAGAGACCCAAAAUACCAAGUGGAAGCAAAAACAUUAUAUAGAAAUUAAAAGUGAAAUCGGGCUUACCGCAGUGUCCAACUCUCAAAUUCCCAACUCUCAAAUAGGCGAUGAGACUCACCGGCUCUCAAAUU
Molecule: non-coding RNA, 1694 nt
Filed under: Betula luminifera
Lineage: Eukaryota; Viridiplantae; Streptophyta; Magnoliopsida; Fagales; Betulaceae
Source: RNAcentral